AUUGAACGCUGGCGGCAUGCCUUACACAUGCAAGUCGAACGGCAGCGCGGGAGCAAUCCUGGCGGCGAGUGGCGAACGGGUGAGUAAUACAUCGGAACGUGCCCAAUCGUGGGGGAUAACGCAGCGAAAGCUGUGCUAAUACCGCAUACGAUCUACGGAUGAAAGCAGGUGAUCGCAAGACCUUGCGCGAAUGGAGCGGCCGAUGGCAGAUUAGGUAGUUGGUGAGGUAAAGGCUCACCAAGCCUUCGAUCUGUAGCUGGUCUGAGAGGACGACCAGCCACACUGGGACUGAGACACGGCCCAGACUCCUACGGGAGGGAGCAGUGGGGAAUUUUGGACAAUGGGAGAAAGCCUGAUCCAGCCAUGCCGCGUGCAGGAUGAAGGCCUUCGGGUUGUAAACUGCUUUUGUACGGAACGAAACGGUCUUUUCUAAUAAAGAAGGCUAAUGACGGUACCGGAAGAAUAAGCACCGGCUAACUACGUG
Molecule: ribosomal RNA, 484 nt
Filed under: uncultured bacterium
Lineage: Bacteria
Description: partial 16S ribosomal RNA
Rfam family: Bacterial small subunit ribosomal RNA
Source: RNAcentral